AAAAAAAAACAAAGGCAUGUAAAGGAUCCCUUGGUAUCCAAAAGCGAAGAAGGACGUGGCUACCGGCGAAACGUUUCGGGGAGUUGGAAGUAAGCUUUGAUCCGAAAGUAUCCGAAUGAGGAAACUCAAUAACUUCUUACUGAAUCUAUAAGUAAAGAAAGAGCGAACCUAGGGAAUUGAAACAUCUUAGUACCUAGAGGAAAAGAAAGUAAAAACGAUUCCCGGAGUAGUGGCGAACGAAAUGGGAACAGCCUAAACUUUUUCUUUAAAUAGAAAAAGGGUUGCGGGGUAAAAAUUCGGAAACGAAAAACAAAAAAAUUAGGUGAACUAAUUGGAAAAUUAGACCAAAGAAAGUGAUAGUCUUGUAACCGAAAAUUAAAACAUUUUUUUAUUCCCAAGUAGCAUGGGCCACGUGGAAGCCCGUGUGAAUCUGCGAGGACCACCUCGUAAGGCUAAAUAUUCUUGGAUGUCCGAUAGCGUAUAGUACCGCGAGGGAAAGGUGAAAAGAACCCCGGGAGGGGAGUGAAAUAGAACGUGAAAUUGCAUGCCCACAAACAGAAGGAGAACGACUUAGCGUUUGACUUCGUGCCUGUUGAAGAAUGUUCCGGCGACUUAGAGUUAGUGGCAGGUUAAGAUAGAGAUAUUGGAGCCAUAGUGAAAGCGAGCUUGAAUAGAGCGUUAGUCACUAGUUCUAGACCCGAACCCGGUUGAUCUAACCAUGAGCAGGAUGAAACUGAGGUAACACUUAGUGGAGGUCCGAACCGACUGAUGUUGAAAAAUCAGCGGAUGACUUGUGGUUAGGGGUGAAAUGCCAAUCGAAACCGGAGCUAGCUGGUUCUCCCCGAAAUGUAUUUAGGUGCAGCGGUUAAUGUUCUAGCGUAGGGGUAAAGCACUGUUUCGGUGCGGGCUGGUAAUUCGGUACCAAAUCGAGGCAAACUCUGAAUACUACGUGUAUAGUUAACCAGUAAGACUGUGGGGGAUAAGCUUCAUAGUCAAGAGGGAAACAGCCCAGAUCACCAGCUAAGGCCCCUAAAUAAUGACUAAGUGAUAAAGGAAGUGGAAAGGCUUAGACAACCAGGAGGUUUGCUUAGAAGCAGCAAUCCUUUAAAAAGUGCGUAAUAGCUUACUGGUCUAGCAAUUCUGCGCCGAAAACUUAUGGGACUAAGUCAUUUGCCGAAGCUGUGAGAUAAAAGUAAAUUUUUAUCGGUAGGGGAGCGUUCUGUUGUAGGAUGAAGUGUUAGCGAAAGCGGGCAUGGACGAAACAGAAGUGAAAAUGUCGGAUUGAGUAGCGAAAACAUUGGUGAGAAUCCAAUGCUCCGAAAACCUAAGGUUUCCUCCGCAAGGCUCGUCCACGGAGGGUUAGUCAGGUCCUAAGGUGAGGCUGAAAAGCGUAGUUGAUGGACAAUAGGUUAAUAUUCCUAUACUGGGAUUGAUUGGUAACGAGGGACGAAGAAGGCUAGGCUAGCCAGAUAUGGGUUACUGGUUUAAGUUUUCAAGGUAUUGAAGGUUAGAGAAAAUAAUCUGAGCUAAGAAACGAAUACACGAUUUUAAUAAUCAAAGUAGUUGAUGUCAUACUUCCAAGAAAAGCUCGCUAUGCCAUAAAUCAAUUUCACCUGUACCUUAAACCGACACAGGUAGGUAGGUAGAGAAUACCAAGGGGCGCGGGAGAACUCUCUCUAAGGAACUCGGCAAAAUAGCCCCGUAACUUCGGGAGAAGGGGUGCCCUGUAACAAGGGCCGCAGUGACCAGGCCCAGCCGACUGUUUACCAAAAACACAGGUCUCCGCAAAGUCGUAAGACAAUCUAUGGGGGCUGACGCCUGCCCAGUGCCGGAAGGUUAAAGAAGUUGGUUAGCGUAAGCAAAGCUAGUGACUGAAGCCCCGGUGAACGGCGGCCGUAACUAUAACGGUCCUAAGGUAGCGAAAUUCAUUGUCGGGUAAGUUCCGACCCGCACGAAUGGCGUAAUGAUUUGGAAGCUGUCUCAAAGAGGGACUCGGUGAAAUAGAAAUGUCUGUGAAGAUGCGGACUACCUGCGCCUGGACAGUAAGACCCUAUGAAGCUUUACUGUAUCCUGAAAUUGGAUUUCGAUUUUUUUUGCGCAGAAUAGGUGGGAGACAUUGAGACGAGUUUUUCGGAAUUCGAGGAGUCACCAGUGAGAUACCACUCUGAGAAAAUUAAAAUUCUAACUUCAUACCGUAAGCCGGUUGAAAGACAGUUUCAGGUGGGCAGUUUGACUGGGGCGGUCGCCUCCCAAAAGGUAACGGAGGCGUACAAAGGUUCCCUCAGAUCGGUCAGAAAUCGAUCUUCGAGUGCAAAGGCAAAAGGGAGCUUAACUGUGAGACAAACAAGUCGAGCAGAGACGAAAGUCGGUCUUAGUGAUCUGACGAUGCUGUGUGGAAAGGUCGUCACUCAACGGAUAAAAGUUACUCUAGGGAUAACAGGCUGAUCUCCCCUAAGAGUUCCUAUCGACGGGGAGGUUUGGCACCUCGAUGUCGGCUCGUCGUAUCCUGGGGCGGAAGUACGUCCCAAGGGUUGGGCUGUUCGCCCAUUAAAACGGCACGUGAGCUGGGUUCAGAACGUCGCAAGACAGUUUGGUCCAUAUCUAGUGUGAGCGUUAGAGCAUUGAGAGGAACCUUCCAUAGUACGAGAGGACCUGGAAGGACACACCACUAGUAUGCCAGUUCUUGUGCCAACAGGAAACGCUGGGUAGCUAUGUGUGGAAUGGAUAAUUGCUGAAAGCAUCUAAGUAAGAAGCCUACCUCAAGAUGAGUGCUCUCCUGAGGCCACGGCAAGACUAGCCGUUUGAUAGACGUUAAGUGUACGGCGAGCAAUCGUUUGA
RNAcentral lists this ribosomal RNA (2838 nucleotides) under Synura sp. LO234KE. RNAcentral's name for it is "bacterial LSU rRNA". It matches the Rfam family "Bacterial large subunit ribosomal RNA". The record is from RNAcentral. Lineage: Eukaryota; Synurophyceae; Synurales; Mallomonadaceae.